CCAGUCUGUUUCUCAUCGUGUUGCUGUGAAAUACAGACUGAACGGUGGCUCAAAACGCAAACUCUCUCAGUUGGAAAAAGAAAACCUGUGUCGCUAAAAAGGUUUUGAUGGAUGACGAUUGUAAUGAAGAUGAGUAGCAGGUAGCUUGAAAACUGGUUAAGCGUAUUAACAGUGGAACAGGAUGACAGGCUGAAGACAAAGGCAGAUGUGGGAAUAGGAUGGCAGGUAAGUAAUCCAGUUGAGUCUUGACUCUUGACAUAGACGAAACCAGACAUGGAAGUGAGGGAAUGGUCAGCUUAUAAAGCGUGACUGGUGACGAGGUGCAGGGGCAGGUGAUCAGUAUUCUGGUGAUUGCGAAUGAGUGGGCGGAUCUGGUGUUGCUGGUGUGAUUGGUGUGGUGACUGAGGCCCCGUCCACACGGAGACGCGUUUCUGUGAAAACGCACAAAUUUUGUAUCGGAUAGGCGUUUCGUCCACACGGAUCCGGCGUUUUCGGAAGGUGAAACCGCUAUUUUUUGAAACCGGGUCCCAGAGUGGAUAAAUCUGAAAACGCCGUCUUCGCGUUUUCGUGUGGACAGCCUAUCCGUAUAUUUUGUGAAAUGAUGAUGUCAUCACCCCACGUGUCGACCCUAGUCAGACGCUGCUAACAGCACAAAACAGCCACAGCAACAACAAUAGCAGACUCUAGAUGCUUGUGUUCAUGCUGCAGAAGCUACUGAGCCAAAAUAAAGCGUUAUUUCUAAGCUUUACUAUAGUUUGUAUACAGCGUGCAAGGUUUAUGUGCAUGCUCCAAGUCUUAUUCUCUGUUUUAAGUGUAUCUCUGUGGCAGAAUUACAGCACCACAUACUGGUCUGGCAUAUAUACUACAUCAUUUUGAGUCAUUUCAGUGGUUUUGUGUGGACGCAGAUAUUUCUUGAGACGAGGAAAAAAAAAAGAUCAGAUUGGGUAAGCUCUGGCUUCGUGUGGACGUAGCCUGAAUCCGUGACAUUAGUAGGUAGGGUUGUCACCUGGCAAAAUAAGGGACACCCUUAUUAGAUAUUAAGAGAUUAUCCAAAUUAAAAAAAAAAUA
This is a long non-coding RNA of Ctenopharyngodon idella (grass carp), 1068 nucleotides long. RefSeq lists it as uncharacterized. Lineage: Eukaryota; Metazoa; Chordata; Actinopteri; Cypriniformes; Xenocyprididae. The transcript is spliced from 2 exons. The record is from RefSeq and is a predicted model, not a curated record.